RNAcentral lists this non-coding RNA (24 nucleotides) under Cricetulus griseus (Chinese hamster). The record is from RNAcentral. Lineage: Eukaryota; Metazoa; Chordata; Mammalia; Rodentia; Cricetidae.
GUGGCAGAGCCCAUGGAACUGUAG